CCUCGAGCUCUGCGAUUGGACAGAAUGACCCACACACACCCAGGGGCGGGGCUUGAUGACCCGCGGGAUUUCCGCAGUCUCUCCGUGGACUCGGCCGUGUGCAGCAGUACUGAUUCUCUGCAUAAAUCCAGUAAGAGGAAAAGCAUCAAAUCCUCCAUCGGCCGUCUGUUCGGGAAAAAAGAGAAGGGCAGAGGGGGCGGGGCUCCGCGAGACUCCGCCUCACUAGGUAACAAAACACACCUGGACUUCUACCUAGAGUUCAAUUACCUGAUAUGGAAAUAUCUGAUCUGACUCUGUGAGUGUGUGUGUGUGUGUGUGUGUGUGUGUGUGUGUGUGAUAUGCAGCAUCAACUCCGUCUGAUGAUCUGGCUGCUGAUCCACUCAGCCUCAAACUGGGAACACUGGAGAAAGAGCGCCGCAGUAAAAAGAAGUGAGAUACACCCGUUCAUUCAGCCACGACUCACUGAUUCACCCACGACUCACUGAUUCACCCCUCGACUCACUGAUUCACCCUCGACUCACUGAUUUA
RNAcentral lists this long non-coding RNA (528 nucleotides) under Astyanax mexicanus (Mexican tetra). Its description in RNAcentral is "lncRNA (ENSAMXG00005001024.1)". Lineage: Eukaryota; Metazoa; Chordata; Actinopteri; Characiformes; Acestrorhamphidae. The record is from RNAcentral.